GGACGCGUAGCUCAGCUGGUUAGAGCGUUUCGUUGACAUCGAAAAGGUCCCCCGUUCGAGUCGGGGCGCGUCCA
RNAcentral lists this transfer RNA (74 nucleotides) under bacterium. RNAcentral describes it as "tRNA-Val". It matches the Rfam family "tRNA". From Rfam's summary of the family: Transfer RNA (tRNA) molecules are approximately 80 nucleotides in length. Their secondary structure includes four short double-helical elements and three loops (D, anti-codon, and T loops). The record is from RNAcentral.